AUACACAGCAGGUAAUUUAAAUUCAGUGCCUCAAGAUAUUGUUUUCAACUUCCCUUCCCAUCUUCCCUUCUGCAAGGGCAACUUAACCCCCAGUGCUACGGGCCCCUUCCAUCCUGUUGCAUCAGUCUCCAGCUGGGGCUGUUCCAGCCACAUUGUUAGAGCAACAUGAUGAAAGAUCUGCAGCGUCUGAUGCAAAACUCUGCUCCCUCGGUGUCCUCUCACCCAACUAGCUGGCUUGGUCCCCUGCAUGAGAACGCGGCUGCCUGACUGGGGAACACGUGCUGGUCCCCAGAGCUCCAGAUCCUGGCUUUGAAAGCAACCGUAGGUCUUUACAUGGGAAGCAGAACUCUGGAGAACUCUGCACACAGAGAACUCUGACACAGGCCUUCGGCCCCAAGCACACUCAUCUCUGGAAGGUCCAAACUAAAAUGUGCUGUGUGUUUGAUCUGAGGUUUUGCCAAAGACUCAGAAUAUGAGGGCAAGGAGCAGAAGAGAGCGUUUUAUAUUUCCCAAGUCCCUGCUAUGUGCCCCUACUGUGCUAUGUGUGUUUGUAUAUUAUUGUCACAUAAAUCUGACGAGUUUUGGAACGAGAAAUUAGUGACCUGCAGCAAUGAGUCGGCACUUCAAUCUCUCCGGGUUGGGGGACAGAGUUGGCCCUUUAAGCAAGAGUGAAAACUCAGAACAUAGAAAGCUGCUGAUGUCUGUAUGCUACACCCAAGGAUUUCAAGCCAGCUUCAGUUUGGCUCUGAGAACUACAAGGCAGCUGUCUGGCUGGUAAUGAACACAGAACAUGAGUCAGGACUAUCAUGGCUCUGGGCUCAAUGCUGAGCACACAGUCGGUACACAUGAAACAUUUGCCAAACUACCUGUAAGGUCUGAGAGCCAAGGCUCCAUUUCUCUCCAAGGGCCUGCCAAAAGUAAACUGUGGGGGGCCACAUAACACAUUUCAAUGCUCUCUACACUGAGCCCCACUUGUAACUUUUACAUGUCAGACCCCAGAAUAACAGGGAUCUAAAUACAUUUAUGGAAGCCACACAGUAGCAUUUUGAGGCUGAGAAGCCCCCUCCUUUGUGAUCACAUCGCUUCUGAAACCCAACUCACAGCUCUUUGAGCUGUCACUCUUAAUACUGCUCCUACAGGAUGAACUAGAUCCCCACUGCUUUAUGUCAUCCUCUGUGCUCCCUGUUUUUGUGUUUAUUUACUAAUUGGCUGACUCUGGUUGUUUCUUAUUGAUUUACAAGUCAACUCAGAAAAAGUGAUUCAAGUGUAAGGUAUUGAAGGCGUGGAUCUUUAUUCUCACACUGCUACUUUGGUCACCGAGACCAUGUCAUCACUGGGAAUAUCCAUUCACCUUGUAUCUCCCAAACUUGGUAAGGAAGGGAUCAGAAUCAUUAAACCUCCUAGAGUAGACAAUGCCACAUUCAUUCAUUCACUUAUUGAGACAGAAGGACGUUAUCUCCUACACAAAGAAAAGUUGGGGGACACCUGGCGGGCUCAGUUGGUAGAGCAUGCAACUCUAAAUCUCAGGGUCAUGAGUUCAAGCCCCACACUGGGUAUGUAGCCUACUUUAAAAAAUUUUUUUAAAUUUCAUUAAAGUUUAAAACAAAAGAAAAGUAGUGACUUUAAUAACUGUAAUCAAUUUUCUUGAGCACUAGGGUGCCAUGGAGUUAGGACUCUCUGCAGUGUUUCUCAAACUGCAGUCCUUUCAACCAACUGCAGCAGAAUUCCCUGGAAUGAUUAUAAAUAUAGAUUCCUGGAAUCCAACCCAGACUUAAUGUAACAGAAUUUGGUUUUU
Mirounga angustirostris (Northern elephant seal) is the source of this 1795-nucleotide long non-coding RNA. RefSeq lists it as uncharacterized. The transcript has 3 exons. The record is from RefSeq and is a predicted model, not a curated record. Lineage: Eukaryota; Metazoa; Chordata; Mammalia; Carnivora; Phocidae.